AUACUUAGGGUGCAAGCGUUAAUCGGAAUUACUGGGCGUAAAGCGCUCGUAGGCGGCUUGUAAAGUCGGAUGUGAAAUCCCCGGGCUCAACCUGGGAACUGCAUUCGAAACUGGCAGGCUAGAGUAUAGUAGAGGCAAGUGGAAUUCCGGGUGUAGCGGUGAAAUGCGUAGAUAUCCGGAGGAACAUCAGUGGCGAAGGCGACUUGCUGGACUAAUACUGACGCUGAGGAGCGAAAGCGUGGGGAGCAAACGGGAUUAGAUACCCCAGUAGUCC
RNAcentral lists this ribosomal RNA (274 nucleotides) under uncultured bacterium. RNAcentral's name for it is "partial 16S ribosomal RNA". It matches the Rfam family "Bacterial small subunit ribosomal RNA", at positions 523 to 796 of the family's 1533-position model. The record is from RNAcentral.